This is a long non-coding RNA of Fukomys damarensis (Damara mole-rat), 1839 nucleotides long. The record is from Ensembl. Lineage: Eukaryota; Metazoa; Chordata; Mammalia; Rodentia; Bathyergidae.
UUGCCUAGCAUGCUCAAGGCUCUGGAUUAUUUUGUUGUAGCUAUUCGUUUGUUUUAAUUUUUGUUGUUUUGCUUUGUUUUGGUACCAGGAGUCGAAUUUAGGACCUUGUGCUUUUGAGGCAGGUGCAGCACCACUGAGGUAAAUCCCUAGCCUUGUUUGUUUUAGUUUUUUGAGACAAGGUCCCACUAUGUAGUUGCGGCUGGCCUUGAACUCACAGUGAUCCUCCUGGCUCAGCCCCCCCCCACCCUUCAGUGCUGGGAUUACAGGUUUGUACCACCCACUGUCCAGCUCUUAUUGGUCACAUUUAGAAAUGGAUUUCUAGAGCCAAGCACAUGCCUGGAAUCUCAGCUCUUGAGAGGCCAAGGCAAGAGGAUCUCCAGGAGUUCAAGGCCAGCCUGAACCACAUAGGGAGACCCUGACUCAAAAAACCAAGGCAAAACAAGGUUUACGAAUGUAAAAUAUCUCCAAAGAUUUAGCUCAGUGGCGACACACCUGCCUCCCAAGUGCAAGGUCCUGAGUUUGAUCCCAGGUAUUAAAAAAAGAAUGUGAAAUAUCGUCAAUGCUCACAUGCGAUGUUUUCAGUUAUAACAAGGAAAAUCCAGAAGGACUGAAGCAAGCCAAAGUGAACACGGCAGCUUCCUGUGAGAAAUACGAAUUCUGCUUGGCCGGCCUCUCGGAGCCCCCCAGUCUGCUCAGGCUCCCGUCCAGCCUCAAGCCCUCCAAACUCCACGUGCAGAACUGCCUGUUUGAAGAGUACAAACGCAUCGCCCCUGAAACCCUGGGUGAACUUGAGGAGAUGCUGCAGAGUUAUGCAGGGCACCACACCCCGUUCCCCAUGGGCCUCAUCAACCUGGUGAACUACAGCUGGCAGGAACUCACGGACAGUGCCCCGAAGCCCUGCCCACCCAGGGCGCCAGACCCAGCCAGGCAAGGGCAGCCUGCGGUUAAAGCAAAACAAGACGUUUCAGCAAGUAAAUUUGUGAAAAAAUUAUCCCUUGCCAGCCACGACCACGGAGUCCACCCAGAGAACAGCUCCCCUGAUGUCAUCCACUUCUCGCUGUCAUCCAAGGCCUGUCUAGAAAAUGGUAAGGCACUUCACCUCCCCAAACAGGCUCAGUUCUGACGACCAGCGGAGUGAGUGGCAGUUGCUUCGGGGUCCCUGAGUUCGGGGUUUGAACACGGCUUCAAACAUGCUAGGUUACAGCUGCAGACCCCCGUUCCAUUUUGGGAGACAGAGUCUUGCUGAAUUGCCCAGGCUGGCCUUGAACUUGAAUCCUCCUGCCUCAGCCUCCCAAACAGCUGAGAUUCUAUUUGUGCACGACCACACCUGGCAGGAACUUGUGGAAUAUUCUUGAUUUAGAGAAUAUACUUCAUGCCGAGUGUGCCCUACCCACCUCCCCACCCUCUGUGUACACCUCGGGACGCUGCAUGGAGGGGUGAGAGUUUGGGACUGGCUUCUGGGGCGGGCCAGGAAAUAGACUGCAGUGCUCAUGCUAAGGAAGAGCCCCGGAGGUGCAGGAAACAGCGAGCAGCGGUGAGGGGCGCGUACGAGGCCACUUGAAGGCGUCCAGGAUUUCAGUAAGUGGCCCAGAAACGGGAUGUCCUCGACUUCCCAGCCCGGGGAGGGGCGUCUGUGCGGGGAGACGGGGUGACGGUCAGGCCCCAGAGGCGCCUGAGGGGGAGAAGACGGAGCACAUUGUGUCACGAAGUGAAAGAACGCGCUUGUGGGUGAAAGGAGAAAGCCAGGAGAGCACUUACAGAAAACAAUUAAAAAGAGGAAUACCUCCUGUGAGCAGGAGGAGCUUCCAAAUGGAGGUCCAAGCUGUUUUUGUUAUUUUU